CAACAAAAAGCCAAAUAGCGGCAUUUAAUUGUUAAUUAAAAAAAUGUAAUUUAUUACUUUGUUGG
This 65-nucleotide transfer RNA is filed under the name Vampyroteuthis infernalis. RNAcentral describes it as "tRNA-Asn". The record is from RNAcentral. Lineage: Eukaryota; Metazoa; Mollusca; Cephalopoda; Vampyromorpha; Vampyroteuthidae.